GAUGAACGCUGGCGGCGUGCCUAAUACAUGCGAGUCGAGCAAACGGACGAGAAGCUUGCUUCUCUGAUGUUAGCGGCGGACGGGUGAGUAACACGUGGAUAACCUACCUAUAAGACUGGGAUAACUUCGGGAAACCGGAGCUAAUACCGGAUAAUAUUUUGAACCGCAUGGUUCAAAAGUGAAAGACGGUCUUGCUGUCACUUAUAGAUGGAUCCGCGCUGCAUUAGCUAGUUGGUAAGGUAACGGCUUACCAAGGCAACGAUGCAUAGCCGACCUGAGAGGGUGAUCGGCCACACUGGAACUGAGACACGGUCCAGACUCCUACGGGAGGCAGCAGUAGGGAAUCUUCCGCAAUGGGCGAAAGCCUGACGGAGCAACGCCGCGUGAGUGAUGAAGGUCUUCGGAUCGUAAAACUCUGUUAUUAGGGAAGAACAUAUGUGUAAGUAACUGUGCACAUCUUGACGGUACCUAAUCAGAAAGCCACGGCUAACUACGUG
This 497-nucleotide ribosomal RNA is filed under the name uncultured bacterium. RNAcentral's name for it is "partial 16S ribosomal RNA". It matches the Rfam family "Bacterial small subunit ribosomal RNA", at positions 28 to 507 of the family's 1533-position model. The record is from RNAcentral.